ACUUGGCAUUAGCAAAGCCACAGCUACUUCUAGAUAGCUGCAGUGGUUAAAAAAAAAAAAAAAGAGGCUGGGGGUAAAGCAUUUCCUUGACAGUUAUGAUUCCUUUGGCUGCAACUGAUCUAUAUUUUGGAAAAGAUAGUG
Molecule: small nucleolar RNA, 141 nt
Organism: Onychomys torridus (southern grasshopper mouse)
Lineage: Eukaryota; Metazoa; Chordata; Mammalia; Rodentia; Cricetidae
Source: RefSeq, a predicted model, not a curated record